This 221-nucleotide unclassified non-coding RNA is filed under the name Hevea brasiliensis (rubber tree). The record is from RNAcentral. Lineage: Eukaryota; Viridiplantae; Streptophyta; Magnoliopsida; Malpighiales; Euphorbiaceae.
GCUUGCUGUCUCAUGUAUCGUGGUGAUGUCGUGCCGAAGGAUGUCAAUGCUGCAGUUGCCACCAUCAAGACUAAGCGAACCAUCCAGUUUGUUGACUGGUGCCCAACCGGCUUCAAGUGUGGCAUCAACUACCAGCCACCGACUGUUGUUCCUGGUGGUGAUCUUGCGAAGGUGCAGAGAGCUGUUUGCAUGAUCUCAAACUCCACCAGUGUGGCUGAAGU